UACGAAGGGGGCUAGCGUUGCUCGGAAUCACUGGGCGUAAAGCGCACGUAGGCGGUUUGCUAAGUCAGGGGUGAAAUCCUGGAGCUCAACUCCAGAACUGCCUUUGAUACUGGCGACCUUGAGUCCGGGAGAGGUGAGUGGAACUGCGAGUGUAGAGGUGAAAUUCGUAGAUAUUCGCAAGAACACCAGUGGCGAAGGCGGCUCACUGGCCCGGUACUGACGCUGAGGUGCGAAAGCGUGGGGAGCAAACAGG
This 253-nucleotide ribosomal RNA is filed under the name uncultured bacterium. Its description in RNAcentral is "partial 16S ribosomal RNA". It matches the Rfam family "Bacterial small subunit ribosomal RNA", at positions 524 to 776 of the family's 1533-position model. The record is from RNAcentral.